This is a long non-coding RNA of Macrobrachium nipponense, 815 nucleotides long. RefSeq lists it as uncharacterized. The transcript is spliced from 3 exons. NCBI's taxonomy places the organism in Eukaryota, Metazoa, Arthropoda, Malacostraca, Decapoda, Palaemonidae. The record is from RefSeq and is a predicted model, not a curated record.
CAGCACUGAGGUCGGGUUCUCUUCCAUUAGGACUACCCUACAGAAAAGGGAAGGCUUAUCUUUAGCCGGUAGUAGGGGAGGCGGUUAGGACCCCCAAUCCCCCCUCUCUUACCCCUGGUAUUAUUACCUGGUCUUUUCGGCCUCCAAAAUUGCACCUUCAUCAAGGAAUACGAAAUGGCAUAUAUAUACAGCUGGAUGCCUCGGGGUUACAGAACUGAGGUCGGGUUCUCUUCCAUUAGGACUGAGAGGGUCUACCCUACUGAAAAGGGAAGUCUUAUCUUCAGCCGGUAGUAGGGGAGGCGGUUAGGACCCCUAAUCCGUCCCUCUCUUUCCCCUGGGUUACAGCACUUGAGAGGUCUACUCUACAGAAAAGGGAAGGCUUAUCUUCAGCCGGUAAUAGGGAUGGCGGUUAGGACCCCCAAUCCCCCCCUCUCUUACCCCUGGUAUUAUUAACUGGUCUUUUCGGUCUCGAAAAUUGCACCUCCAUCAAGGAAUACGAAAUGGGAUGUACUACAGCUGGAUACCUAGGGCAAACACUGUUUUUUUUUUUUUUUUUUUUUGUAAAAAUCUGAUUGAUGACAACUCGUAUAUAUAUUAUUUGAUAAUUUAAAUUAACGAAUGUACAAACAAGUUAUAUAAAAUCAGCAGGCAUAUAUUUGUAAUAACAGAUAAAUGAACUCUUAAUUCCUGGAAUAUUUACUUUUAAAUAGAAUCCAAACUUUAUAACUAUUCCUGUGUUAAAUAUUUGGUCGUUGUUACUAUAGAGUAAAGCAGACGUUCUAGGUUUGUUAGUUGUCAUUCUCUCUUUGAGACUA